CCUACGGGAGGCAGCAGUGAGGAAUAUUGGUCAAUGGGCGCGAGCCUGAACCAGCCAAGUCGCGUGAGGGAAGACGGUCCUAUGGAUUGUAAACCUCUUUUGUCGGGGAGCAAAAGACGCCACGCGUGGCGUUCCGAGAGUACCCGAAGAAAAAGCAUCGGCUAACUCCGUGCCAGCAGCCGCGGUAAUACGGAGGAUGCGAGCGUUAUCCGGAUUUGUUGGGUUAAAAGGGUGCGCAGGCGGAAGAUCAAGUCAGCGGUAAAAUUGAGAGGCUCAACCUCUUCGAGCCGUUGAAAGUGGUUUUCUUGAGUGAGUGAGAAGUAUGCGGAAGGCGUGGUGUAGCGGUGAAAUGCAUAGAUAUCACGCAGAACUCCGAUUGCGAAGGCAGCAUACCGGCGCUCAACUGACGCUCAUGCACGAAAGUGUGGGUAUCGAACAGGAUUAGAUACCCCAGUAGUC
Molecule: ribosomal RNA, 459 nt
Filed under: uncultured bacterium
Lineage: Bacteria
Description: partial 16S ribosomal RNA
Rfam family: Bacterial small subunit ribosomal RNA
Source: RNAcentral